RNAcentral lists this ribosomal RNA (765 nucleotides) under Rothia kristinae. Its description in RNAcentral is "bacterial SSU rRNA". It matches the Rfam family "Bacterial small subunit ribosomal RNA", at positions 64 to 798 of the family's 1533-position model. Lineage: Bacteria; Bacillati; Actinomycetota; Actinomycetes; Micrococcales; Micrococcaceae. The record is from RNAcentral.
GGGUGAGGGCCCCUCAGUUAGUUUGCUCCUCGACCGCAGAAGCCUGGAGCUUGCACCGGGUUCCUGAGUGGCGAACGGGUGAGUAAUACGUGAGUGACCUGCCUUUGACUCUGGGAUAAGCCUGGGAAACUGGGUCUAAUACCGGAUGCGACUACUGCCCGCAUGGGCUGGUGGUGGAAAGGGUUAUGUACUGGUCUUAGAUGGGCUCACGGCCUAUCAGCUGGUUGGUGGGGUAAUGGCCUACCAAGGCGACGACGGGUAGCCGGCCUGAGAGGGUGACCGGCCACACUGGGACUGAGACACGGCCCAGACUCCUACGGGAGGCAGCAGUGGGGAAUAUUGCACAAUGGGCGCAAGCCUGAUGCAGCGACGCCGCGUGAGGGAUGACGGCCUUCGGGUUGUAAACCUCUUUCAGCAGGGAAGAAGCGGAAGUGACGGUACCUGCAGAAGAAGCGCCGGCUAACUACGUGCCAGCAGCCGCGGUAAUACGUAGGGCGCAAGCGUUGUCCGGAAUUAUUGGGCGUAAAGAGCUCGUAGGCGGCUUGUCGCGUCUGCUGUGAAAGCCCGGGGCUUAACUCCGGGUGUGCAGUGGGUACGGGCAGGCUAGAGUGCAGUAGGGGUAACUGGAAUUCCUGGUGUAGCGGUGAAAUGCGCAGAUAUCAGGAGGAACACCGAUGGGCGAAGGCAGGUUACUGGGGCUGUUACUGACGCUGAGGAGCGAAAGCAUGGGGGAGCGAACAGGGAUAAAUUACCCUGGUAGUCCCA